RNAcentral lists this ribosomal RNA (502 nucleotides) under Providencia heimbachae. RNAcentral describes it as "bacterial SSU rRNA". It matches the Rfam family "Eukaryotic small subunit ribosomal RNA", at positions 763 to 1245 of the family's 1831-position model. Lineage: Bacteria; Pseudomonadati; Pseudomonadota; Gammaproteobacteria; Enterobacterales; Morganellaceae. The record is from RNAcentral.
AAAUUCGAGAGCUUAAAGCAGGCUCAUUUGCCUGAAUAUUGUGUGCAUAGAAUAAUGGAAUAGGACCUCGGUUCUAUUUUACUGGUUUUCGGAAUUCCUAGGUUAUGAUUAAUAGGGACAACUGGGGAUUCAUUCAACUGGGGGGCAUUCGUAGUGCGACGUUAGAGGUGAAAUUUUUGGAUCGUCGCAAGACGGACAGAAGCGAAAGCAUUUGCCAAAUGUGUUUUCAUCAAUCAAGAACGAAAGGUAGAGGUUUGAAGGCGAUCAGAUACCGCCCUACUUCUAACCAUAAACAAUACCAGCUAGCGAUCCGCCGAAGUUCCUCCUAUGACUCGGCGGGAAGCAAACGGGAAACCAAAGCUUUUGGGAUCCGGUGGAAGUAUGGUUGCAAAGCUGAAACUUAAAAGAAUUGAUGCAAGGGCACCACUAGGAGUGGAGCCUGCGGCUUAAUUUGACUCAACACGGGAAACCUCACCAGGCCCGGACACCGGAAGGAUUGACA